AACAACAGUGAUGAUUCAUACAGACCUGUAAUGAUUUGCGAGCAUGAUCGCAAGCAAUAAUGAACAUCUAAGGGACUGAGUUGUU
This 85-nucleotide small nucleolar RNA is filed under the name Olea europaea subsp. europaea. Its description in RNAcentral is "Small nucleolar RNA SNORD25". It matches the Rfam family "Small nucleolar RNA SNORD25". From Rfam's summary of the family: U25 is a member of the C/D class of snoRNA which contain the C (UGAUGA) and D (CUGA) box motifs. U25 is found in gene clusters in plants, and within the U22 snoRNA host gene (UHG) in mammals. U25 is thought to as a 2'-O-ribose methylation guide for ribosomal RNA. Lineage: Eukaryota; Viridiplantae; Streptophyta; Magnoliopsida; Lamiales; Oleaceae. The record is from Rfam by way of RNAcentral.